Molecule: RNA transcript, 2215 nt
Organism: Asparagus officinalis (garden asparagus)
Lineage: Eukaryota; Viridiplantae; Streptophyta; Magnoliopsida; Asparagales; Asparagaceae
Gene name: protein PAF1 homolog
Exons: 14
Source: RefSeq, a predicted model, not a curated record
UCGGAACUGCAUCGAAAAGAUAGUUCUUUGCCACCUAAACAGCCGCAGAAGAGGGCGGAGACCGAGGAAGAGAGGAGGGCAAGGAAGAAGAGGGAGUACGAGAAGCAGAGGGCAGAGGAGAGGAGGCAGCAUAUGCUGAAACAGUCACAGGCGAGCGUGCUGCAGAGGACCAAGGAGGCUGUGGGUUCGAGAGGAUCAGGUCAUAGUAAGCACCAUCACGGAUCGGCCUCCGGUUCGAAGAUGAUGGACAGGAGGUCGACACCAUUGUUGAGCGGGGAUAGGAUUGAGAAUCGGCUCAAGAAGCCUACGACAUUCCUUUGCAGGAUGAAGUUUCGGAAUGAGUUGCCAGAUCCAACAGCACAACCGAAAUUGUUGCCUGUAUUGACUGAUAAAGAUCGAUAUACUAGGUAUACUAUCACCUCACUGGAGAAAAAUUACAAGCCCAAGCUUUUUGUUGAACCUGAUAUGGGGAUACCUCUUGACUUACUUGAUCUUAGUGUAUACAAAGCUCCUGAAGUUCCCCCACCCCUUGAUCCAGAAGAUGAAGCACUAUUACAUGAUAGUGAGGUUGCAACCCCUAUUAAACAUGAAGGUAUUCGAAUAAAAGAGCGUCCUACGGAUAAAGGCGUCUCAUGGUUGGUGAAGACACAAUAUAUCUCACCUCUUAGCACAGAUUCAGCUAAACUGUCCUUGACAGAAAAGCAAGCGAAAGAAAUGCGGGAAGCUAGGGAAGGGCGGAAUUUCUCAUUGGAAAAUCUUAACAGCAGAGAAAAACAAAUACAAGCAAUUGAGGAGUCCUUCAAGGCUGCCAAAUUACCACCGGUCCAUCAGACCAAUCCAUCAUUAAAACCUGUGGAGGUUCUUCCCCUGUUGCCUGAUCUUGAUCGGUAUGACGAUCGAUUUGUCAUGGUAGGAUUUGACAGUGAUCCUACGGCUGAUUCUGAAGCAUACAGUAAACUAGACAGAUCCACUCGGGACGAAGUGGAAUCACUGGCUAUCAUGAAGAGUUUUGUCGUAAAUGGUUCUGAUCCUACAAAGCCAGAAAAGUUUUUAUCGUACAUGGUUCCUGCACCAGAUGAGCUAAACAAGGACAUGUAUGAUGAAAGUGAAGAUAUGUCAUACUCUUGGGUCAGAGAGUAUCACUGGGAUGUGAGAGGUGAUGAUGCUGAUGACCCCACAACAUACCUUGUUAAUUUUGGAGAAGAAGAUGCACGAUAUUUGCCACUUCCUACAAAGCUUGUAUUACAAAAGAAGAAGGCCAAAGAAGGAAGGUCAGGGGAUGAAGUUGAACAUUAUCCUGUGCCUUCAAGCGUGACUGUAAGGAAGAGACCAACUGUUGCUGUUGUCGAGCAGAAGGAAUCUGCAGGAACAUCAUCUAAUAAUGGCACAGGAGAUGUCACCGGUUUAAAGCAUGAUAGAUCUUUCAGGGAUUAUGAAUCUGGAACACGGCAUAAAAUCCCUCGAAUGGACAGCAUGGAUCAAUUCAGUGGAGAGGAAGACAUGUCAGACUGAUUCUUAAUAUCCCAUUGGACUCUGGAUGCUGGGAGUCUUUAAGUCUUACACUGAUAUACAGUAUUGGAUUUGCUCUUUGUGGAGCAGAUGAGUCAGUUUGCAGAGAUGAGCAUCUCCGAGAUGGUGGGGUUCGGUAUUUUUAGCUCAAGGUUGAGUCUCCCUUUGCCCUAGUUCCUGUGAAUCUGAGGACAUGGGUGAUGGUGCCGCCGGCAGUGUUAUUAUAUGAAAGUCACUUAAAAACACGACUGCAUGUGAUUAUAUAAGGGAGAAUCUAGAGUCAUGUUAUACUUUGGAUAAGUUCUUAUGCAGAGGAUGCAGGAGGCAUAUUGAGUUUGCAUGUAAAAUGAAACUUGUAAAACAGCUGUAGUGGCAGAAGAAGGUUACGAAGUAUUGUAUAUUUAACUGAUCUAGCUCCAGAAAUGUCUUUAAACACACAAUAAUUUUCUAUCUAGAUUCAGGCUAUUGAAGCGCAAGAAUUCUUUCUGAAGGUUUUGCUGGAGUAUGAUGCUGUUAUGAUCUCACUGCCAACUUGCAAGUCAAGAGGAUUUUCUAGCUGUAUAUGGUAAUUGCACAUAGUUUGUGAUGAUGCAUAUUUUCUGUACGAUUCAAAUCAGUCACAAGAUGAAGUUUUUCCUUUCUAGCCUGCACAAGAAAUUGCAUUCUCUACAGUAAAUAAAUGGCUAUAAGUUAUUUGCUUUGAUUA